AUUGAACGCUGGCGGCAUGCCUUACACAUGCAAGUCGAACGGCAGCACGGGAGCAAUCCUGGUGGCGAGUGGCGAACGGGUGAGUAAUAUAUCGGAACGUGCCCGGUCGUGGGGAUAACGUAGCGAAAGCUACGCUAAUACCGCAUACGAUCUACGGAUGAAAGCGGGGGAUCGCAAGACCUCGCGCGAUUGGAGCGGCCGAUAUCAGAUUAGGUAGUUGGUGAGGUAAAGGCUCACCAAGCCGACGAUCUGUAGCUGGUCUGAGAGGACGACCAGCCACACUGGGACUGAGACACGGCCCAGACUCCUACGGGAGGCAGCAGUGGGGAAUUUUGGACAAUGGGCGCAAGCCUGAUCCAGCAAUGCCGCGUGCAGGAUGAAGGCCUU
This 387-nucleotide ribosomal RNA is filed under the name uncultured bacterium. RNAcentral describes it as "bacterial SSU rRNA". It matches the Rfam family "Bacterial small subunit ribosomal RNA", at positions 30 to 418 of the family's 1533-position model. The record is from RNAcentral.